UGUCAGGGUGGCGCAGCGGUAGCGUGCCGGGUUCAUACCCCGGAGGUCGCGGGUUCGAAUCCCGCCCCUGCAACCA
Molecule: transfer RNA, 76 nt
Filed under: Sphingopyxis macrogoltabida
Lineage: Bacteria; Pseudomonadati; Pseudomonadota; Alphaproteobacteria; Sphingomonadales; Sphingopyxidaceae
Description: tRNA-Met
Rfam family: tRNA
About the family: Transfer RNA (tRNA) molecules are approximately 80 nucleotides in length.
Source: RNAcentral